Molecule: ribosomal RNA, 1518 nt
Filed under: Oenococcus oeni
Lineage: Bacteria; Bacillati; Bacillota; Bacilli; Lactobacillales; Lactobacillaceae
Description: bacterial LSU rRNA
Rfam family: Bacterial large subunit ribosomal RNA
Source: RNAcentral
CCUAAGGCGAGGCUGAAAAGCGUAGUCGAUGGACAACAGGUUGAUAUUCCUGUACCGAUAUUUAAUUGCCGAAGGAAGGACGCAGAAGGAUAACACAGGCCACUAUUGGAUGUGGUUUUAAACAGUUAGUCUUCAUAAGAGUCAAAUGCUUUUAUGUUUAAGGAUAAGCUGUGAAUGUACCAAGUUUACUUGGAAAUUGUGUGAUUUCACGCUGCUGAAAAAAGUUUCGUAGGAAGAAAAUAUUGCCCGUACCGCAAACCGACACAGGUACUCAAGUGGAGAACACUAAGGUGAGCGAGUGAACUAUUGUUAAGGAACUCUGCAAAAUGAGUCCGUAACUUCGGAAGAAGGACUGCUGGUUUUAUACCAGCCGCAGCAAAUAGGCCCAAACAACUGUUUAUCAAAAACACAGGUUUCUGCAAAAUCGUAAGAUGAAGUAUAGGGGCUGACGCCUGCCCAGUGCUGGAAGGUUAAAAGGAGGACUUAGCUUCGGCGAAGGUCUUAAUUGAAGCCCCAGUGAACGGCGGCCGUAACUAUAACGGUCCUAAGGUAGCGAAAUUCCUUGUCGGGUAAGUUCCGACCCGCAUGAAAGGCGUAAUGAUUUGGGCGCUGUCUCAACAAUAGACUCGGUGAAAUUUAAAUUCCAGUGAAGAUGCUGGGUACCCGCGACAGGACGGAAAGACCCCGUGGAGCUUUACUGUAGCUUGAUAUUGAAUGUUUGUGCUGCAUGUGCAGGAUAGGUAGGAGACUUUGAAGUCGGAACGCUAGUUUCGAUUGAGUCACCCUUGAGAUACUACCUCUGUUGUAUGAACGUUCUAACUCUGAUCAGUUAUCCUGAUCGAAGACAGUGUCUGGCAGGCAGUUUGACUGGGGCGGUCGCCUCCUAAAAGAUAACGGAGGCGCUCAAAGGUUUGCUCAGAAUGGUUGGAAAUCAUUCGUAGCGUGUAAAGGCAUAAGCAAGCUUGACUGUGAGACUGACAAGUCGAGCAGGUACGAAAGUAGGACUUAGUGAUCCGGUGGUUCCGUAUGGAAGGGCCAUCGCUCAACGGACAAAAGCUACCCCGGGGAUAACAGGCUCAUCUCCCCCAAGAGUCCACAUCGACGGGGAGGUUUGGCACCUCGAUGUCGGCUCAUCGCAUCCUGGGGCUGUAGUCGGUCCCAAGGGUUGGGCUGUUCGCCCAUUAAAGCGGUACGCGAGCUGGGUUCAGAACGUCGUGAGACAGUUCGGUCCCUAUCCGUCGUGGGCGCAGGAAAUUUGAGAGGAUCUGUCCUUAGUACGAGAGGACCGGGAUGGACAUACCUCUGGUGUACCAGUUGUUCUGCCAAGAGCACCGCUGGGUAGCUACGUAUGGAUUAGAUAAUCGCUGAAAGCAUCUAAGUGAGAAACUAACCUCGAGAUGAGAUUUCCCAUUCGUCAGAAGUAAGACCCCUGAGAGACGAUCAGGUAGAUAGGCUAGAAGUGGAAGUGUAGUGAUGCAUGGAGCGGACUAGUACUAAUAGGUCGAGGACUUAACCAAG